Molecule: unclassified non-coding RNA, 234 nt
Filed under: Glomeraceae sp.
Lineage: Eukaryota; Fungi; Glomeromycota; Glomeromycetes; Glomerales; Glomeraceae
Description: partial contains 5.8S ribosomal RNA and internal transcribed spacer 2
Rfam family: 5.8S ribosomal RNA (bases 1-71)
Source: RNAcentral
GUGAAUCAUCAAAUUUUUGAACGCAAAUUGCACUCUCUGGUAUGCCGGAGAGUAUUUCUGUGUGAGGGUCAGUAUAAAUAAAAGUCGGUGUGGUUGCUGCCGUUCGUGGUGACGCACCGUAUGAUGGUCGUCCUCCCUUCGGUUAAUUUUCCUAAAAUUUUGCAUGAUUUUUUUUAACGUAUUUAAAUGUUUUUACGUUCUUUUGUUAUAUCUAAGACUAGUGGUGGUUAUUCU